RNAcentral lists this ribosomal RNA (676 nucleotides) under uncultured Neisseriales bacterium. RNAcentral's name for it is "bacterial SSU rRNA". It matches the Rfam family "Bacterial small subunit ribosomal RNA", at positions 64 to 725 of the family's 1533-position model. The record is from RNAcentral. Lineage: Bacteria; Pseudomonadati; Pseudomonadota; Betaproteobacteria; Neisseriales.
GAACGGCAGCGGGGAGGAGCUUGCUUCUCUGCCGGCGAGUGGCGAACGGGUGAGUAAUACAUCGGAACGUGUCGAGAAGAGGGGGAUAACCACCCGAAAGGGUGGCUAAUACCGCAUAAAUUCUGAGGAAGAAAGCUAGGGACCUAGGAAUAGGCCUAGCGCUUUUUGAGCGGCCGAUGUCGGAUUAGCUAGUUGGUGAGGUAAAGGCUCACCAAGGCGAAGAUCUGUAGCGGGUCUGAGAGGAUGAUCCGCCACACUGGGACUGAGACACGGCCCAGACUCCUACGGGAGGCAGCAGUGGGGAAUUUUGGACAAUGGGGGCAACCCUGAUCCAGCCAUGCCGCGUGUAUGAAGAAGGCCUUAGGGUUGUAAAGUACUUUUGUUAGGGAAGAAAAGUCAGCUGUGAAUAAUGGCUGAUACUGACGGUACCUAAAGAAUAAGCACCGGCUAACUACGUGCCAGCAGCCGCGGUAAUACGUAGGGUGCGAGCGUUAAUCGGAAUUAUUGGGCGUAAAGCGAGUGUAGACGGUUAUUUAAGCCAGAUGUGAAAUACCCGAGCCUAACUUGGGAGGUGCAUAUGGAACUGGGUAGCUAGAGUGUGUCAGAGGGAGGUAGAACUCCACGUGUAGCAGUGAAAUGCGUAGAGAUGUGGAAGAAUACCGAUGGCGAAGGCAGC